RNAcentral lists this ribosomal RNA (572 nucleotides) under Crenosoma vulpis. Its description in RNAcentral is "SSU rRNA". It matches the Rfam family "Eukaryotic small subunit ribosomal RNA", at positions 1042 to 1643 of the family's 1831-position model. Lineage: Eukaryota; Metazoa; Nematoda; Chromadorea; Rhabditida; Crenosomatidae. The record is from RNAcentral.
GCAUCUAGCGAUCCGAUGGGGUAUUGUUGCCUUGUCGAGGAGCUUCCCGGAAACGAAAGUCUUUCGGUUCCUGGGGUAGUAUGGUUGCAAAGCUGAAACUUAAAGAAAUUGACGGAAUGGCACCACCAGGAGUGGAGCCUGCGGCUUAAUUUGACUCAACACGGGAAAACUCACCCGGCCCGGACACCGUAAGGAUUGACAGAUUGAAAGCUCUUUCUCGAUUUGGUGGUUGGUGGUGCAUGGCCGUUCUUAGUUGGUGGAGCGAUUUGUCUGGUUUAUUCCGAUAACGAGCGAGACUCUAGCCUGCUAAAUAGUGACUAGAUUUUUAUGUCUAGUCUACUUCUUAGAGGGAUAAGCGGUGUUUAGCCGCACGAGAUUGAGCGAUAACAGGUCUGUGAUGCCCUUAGAUGUCCGGGGCUGCACGCGCGCUACAAUGGAAGAAUCAGCUGGCCUAUCCAUUGCCGAAAGGUAUUGGUAAACCGUUGAAACUCUUCCGUGACCGGGAUAGGGAAUUGUAACUAUUUCCCUUGAACGAGGAAUUCCUAGUAAGUGUGAGUCAUCAGCUCACGCUG